This 650-nucleotide ribosomal RNA is filed under the name Evippomma sp. CAS 9029020. RNAcentral's name for it is "partial 28S ribosomal RNA". The stretch from base 397 to 650 matches the Rfam family "Eukaryotic large subunit ribosomal RNA", at positions 665 to 891 of the family's 3401-position model. The record is from RNAcentral. Lineage: Eukaryota; Metazoa; Arthropoda; Arachnida; Araneae; Lycosidae.
GUGGGUCCGUCCAGACCCACGAGGUUCGUCAAGGCCCGACGCAAUUUGUCUCCCGCUCGAAGGACGCCGCAGCCGGUUCGGCAGUGCAAACGUGACGGCCUGAGAGGCGGGCGCUGGCAGGUGGCCGGCGGUGCGCCUCGUGCGUACUGUCGGUUGUUAGCCGGCCCGUCGGUGGCACGUCGCCGGACCGAGGUAACGAGAUGCCCGCACGGGCGUCCGCGCCUCCCCUCACCGAGGCGUCGGGACUGGUGGACGCGAGCGAAGGCAGCCGCGCGGCCGCACCCCUCCGGGGUGGGUCCGCGUCUAGUCGGCGCCGUCGGCGACCACGGACCCGUUGGAGGUCGGAGGUUCGCGGCGAGUAGGUCGGUCACCCACCCGACCCGUCUUGAAACACGGACCAAGGAGUCUAACAUGUGCGCGAGUCAAUGGGUCUCGAAUAAGCCCAGAGGCGCAAUGAAAGCGAAGGUCGGCACACGCCGGCCGAGUCGGGAUCCCGCGGUCCUUCCGCGGGCGCACCGACGACCCGUCCUGUGCCGCUUGCGGCUUGGGCGGAGUGUGAGCGUACACGUUGGGACCCGAAAGAUGGUGAACUAUGCCCGGACAGGACGAGGCCAGAGGAAACUCUGGUGGAGGUCCGCAGCGGUCUGACG